This 1375-nucleotide ribosomal RNA is filed under the name Vibrio cholerae. RNAcentral describes it as "partial 23S ribosomal RNA". It matches the Rfam family "Bacterial large subunit ribosomal RNA", at positions 120 to 1555 of the family's 2925-position model. The record is from RNAcentral. Lineage: Bacteria; Pseudomonadati; Pseudomonadota; Gammaproteobacteria; Vibrionales; Vibrionaceae.
GGGGAAACCCAACUGCAUAAGCAGUUACUGUUAACUGAAUACAUAGGUUAACAGAGCAAACCGGGGGAACUGAAACAUCUAAGUACCCCGAGGAGAAGAAAUCAACCGAGAUUCCGGUAGUAGCGGCGAGCGAACCUGGAUUAGCCCUUAAGCACUCGGUGAAGUAGGUGAACAAGCUGGAAAGCUUGGCGAUACAGGGUGAUAGCCCCGUAACCGACGCUUCAUCGAGCGUGAAAUCGAGUAGGGCGGGACACGUGAUAUCCUGUCUGAAUAUGGGGGGACCAUCCUCCAAGGCUAAAUACUCCUGACUGACCGAUAGUGAACCAGUACCGUGAGGGAAAGGCGAAAAGAACCCCUGUGAGGGGAGUGAAAUAGAACCUGAAACCGUGUACGUACAAGCAGUAGGAGCACCUUCGUGGUGUGACUGCGUACCUUUUGUAUAAUGGGUCAGCGACUUAUAUUCAGUGGCAAGGUUAACCGUAUAGGGGAGCCGUAGCGAAAGCGAGUCUUAACUGGGCGCUCAGUCUCUGGAUAUAGACCCGAAACCGGGUGAUCUAGCCAUGGGCAGGUUGAAGGUUGAGUAACAUCAACUGGAGGACCGAACCGACUAAUGUUGAAAAAUUAGCGGAUGACUUGUGGCUAGGGGUGAAAGGCCAAUCAAACUCGGAGAUAGCUGGUUCUCCCCGAAAGCUAUUUAGGUAGCGCCUCGGACGAAUACUACUGGGGGUAGAGCACUGUUAAGGCUAGGGGGUCAUCCCGACUUACCAACCCUUUGCAAACUCCGAAUACCAGUAAGUACUAUCCGGGAGACACACGGCGGGUGCUAACGUCCGUCGUGGAGAGGGAAACAACCCAGACCGCCAGCUAAGGUCCCAAAGUAUUGCUAAGUGGGAAACGAUGUGGGAAGGCUCAGACAGCUAGGAUGUUGGCUUAGAAGCAGCCAUCAUUUAAAGAAAGCGUAAUAGCUCACUAGUCGAGUCGGCCUGCGCGGAAGAUGUAACGGGGCUAAGCAAUACACCGAAGCUGCGGCAAUGUCUUUUAGACAUUGGGUAGGGGAGCGUUCUGUAAGCCGUUGAAGGUGAAUCGUAAGGUUUGCUGGAGGUAUCAGAAGUGCGAAUGCUGACAUGAGUAACGACAAAGGGGGUGAAAAACCUCCUCGCCGGAAGACCAAGGGUUCCUGUCCAACGUUAAUCGGGGCAGGGUGAGUCGACCCCUAAGGUGAGGCCGAAAGGCGUAAUCGAUGGGAAACGGGUUAAUAUUCCCGUACUUCUGACUAUUGCGAUGGGGGGACGGAGAAGGCUAGGUGGGCCAGGCGACGGUUGUCCUGGUUCAAGUGCGUAGGCUUGAGAGUUAGGUAAAUCCGGCUCUCUCUAAG